AAUAUUGCACAAUGGAGGAAACGCUGAUGCAGCGACGCCGCGUGAACGAGGAAGGCUUUCGGGUCGUACAGUUCUGUCCUUGGGGACGAUAAUGACGGUACGCAAGGAGGAAGCCGCGGCUAACUACGUGCCAGCAGCCGCGGUAAUACGUAGGGGGCAAGCGUUGUCCGGAUUUAUUGGGCGUAAAGGGUGCGUAGGCGGCCAUUUAAGUCAGAUGUGAAAGAUCACGGCUCAACCGUGGUAAGCAUUUGAAACUGAAAGGCUUGAGUUAAGGAGAGGAAAGUGGAAUUCCUAGUGUAGCGGUGAAAUGCGUAGAUAUUAGGAGGAAUACCAGUGGCGAAGGCGACUUUCUGGACUUAUACUGACGCUGAGGAACGAAAGCGUGGGGAGCGAACA
RNAcentral lists this ribosomal RNA (396 nucleotides) under uncultured bacterium. RNAcentral describes it as "partial 16S ribosomal RNA". It matches the Rfam family "Bacterial small subunit ribosomal RNA", at positions 360 to 774 of the family's 1533-position model. The record is from RNAcentral.